Long non-coding RNA from Macrobrachium nipponense, 421 nucleotides. RefSeq lists it as uncharacterized. The transcript is spliced from 3 exons. The record is from RefSeq and is a predicted model, not a curated record. Lineage: Eukaryota; Metazoa; Arthropoda; Malacostraca; Decapoda; Palaemonidae.
GUAAUUGCAAUAUUUUUUCCAGGCACAAGACAGGUAAACGUGAAUUGAACAUCUUGAAGACGUUGAAUGAUGCAGAUCCUGAUGACAAAUACCAUUGCCUUCGUUUAUAUCGGCAUUUUUUCCACAAGAAUCAUUUAUGCAUGGUGUUUGAACCUUUGUCAAUGUCAUUAAGAGAAGUUUUGAAGAAGUAUGGAAAAGAUGUAGGUCUUCAUGUGAAGGCUGUCAGAUCUUACACCCACCAACUCUUUUGUGCUCUUAAAACUUCUGCGGAAGUGUAACAUUCUUCAUGCUGAUGUCAAGCCUGAUAACAUUUUGGUAAAUGAAAAGAAGCUUGUUUUGAAGUUGUGUGAUUUUUGGAUCUGCAUCAAAGGUGACAGAAAAUGAAAUCACACCAUAUCUUGUUGCCAGGUUCUACAGAGCU